ACUCCUUCAUGCCACAGCAGACGCUCUGUCCUCAGGCUGCCGCUGACGGAGCCUCUGCAGAGCUGCAGGGACAUCUGCUUCCUCGCUACAAUGCUGAUUGGAGAGUUGGACUCGGCCCGACCCGGCUGAUCACCGCAUGCGUCGCAGGUGAGGAUGAGGAGCUGGGGCCGUAAACAGAGCCAGACACAGCGGACGGGAAGGAGCUGCUGGAGACGAGGGUCCGUCCACUUGCUUUCAGACAAACCUAACUCUCUUCACUGCAGACUUGUUCAGUGCCGCCUCUGAAAAUAGCUCAGAGACCGCACCAACGCAGUCGUGUAAAAGAACAACAACAAAAACACGAAUCAGCUGUGUGGAAGUAAGGAGCAAGAGGCCGCCGUCCUGUGACACAUCCAGGAAGGGAAAAGGACCUGAGUGCAGCUCAGCAGUUUCCCAGACUGGCACCCACGGGUCAUUUGUCCUCUGGUCACACUCGGAGUCUGGCACCCGCCUCUGUGCUUCGAUUCCAUGACUGAACUCAAGACUGAAUAUUAAUAAAGCAGAACAAAUUCACACCAGCUCUUCUAAUAGUUCAUGGAGACUUUUUCAGUAACAUUCAAGUUGUUUUAAAUCCUAAAUAUCUGAACUUUCUUUCUCUCUAAUUAGAGCUAAUGUGUCCCAAUUACACACUAACCAGACACACACACACACACACACACACACACACACACACACACACACACACACCACGUGACCAGAUUAAGAUCAGAUUCAAUCUGCCUUCCUGUGGCCACACAGGAAUAAGAGUUCAACCCAGCAACAGCAAAACCAGGGAGACAAAGUCUGGUUUCAAUAACGACCCACGUCUAAAUAACGACAUCAGACCUUCACUUGCUUUUUUCAUUUAAGUCCAACACCACCUUGAGCCUACACACAAAUGAGCCACACAGUAUGGUCACAUGCAAGAGAGAAAAACAGCUUUCGUCAGUUCAACCGCCACCACAACUCAUCUGCCAAGUAAACCACUAAAUGAGAAACAUGCUGCACGCCGUGUUACGCUUGGUCUCCCACUGUGACAGGACCAGUUUCCUGCGACACCACACAUCAACUAGUACUGUAGAGACAACGCGAGGGCCUGGACACACACCUCAGCUCUGCUUCACAUGGACACGGACCUAAAACCGUUCAAUGAUGGACUCACCUUCAACACACGGCACCUGAGCCACAUCCUAAACCCUCACCAUCACCACGCGGCUGCAGCAGCCCUCUCAGGACCCAUCAGCUGUAUUGAUCCAGGUUGUUAUGUCAGAGCGGAUAUUUUUUCCCCUGAUGAAUCUGAGCGUUCAAUCAUUGCGUUCAGAUAAAAUUAGGCACAUGUCCUGAACUGAGCGCCUUAUCUAGUGCCAUGACGACAAUUUAGCUCCGUUUUUCCACCGAUAGUUGAAGCUGCACUAAUCUAAACACUGCACAUAACAGUAAGGAUUAAAGGUCAGUAUACACAUCAUGUCAAAAUGGUAACACAAUGAAUGUUUGUGUAACAACACAAGCUCACUAGGAUUUGUUUACUGCUGCAGAAAUCCGGAGGUGUUUACCAUUAAGUGUGAAUGAUUGGACACAGGACUGGACCGAGCAGCGCCCACAGAAGCUCCUUGUUCAGUGGAGAGAACGUAGCUAUAAAAACAAGGCCACGUAAGCACAGACCCAAGGCUCCAGGUCCAAUUACAAGCAUGUGAAUACAGAUUCAAAAGUCUGUGACACACAACAGCCUUUCUCUGCAAAAGCGCCAAAUAUGGAAGAUUCAGCACCUCUGAGUCAUAAGAGACGUAGACGAGAUACAGCAAUAAAAGACCUGCAGCAUAAAAGCAGCACCAGGAGAUGAAGCCGGUGAAAAGCCACACACUAAAACAGAAAACAUGAAUACUACAGAAAUGAUGUGGUAGAUGAGGUGGAGCUAAAACAGGAAGCACAUGGAGCUGCAGAAAGAUAAACCGUCUCCCUGUUUCCUCCAGAAGAAGAGAAAGUACCCACCAAACACGAGGCCACGCUGACGGCGGCGGUAAAACCAGACUCCUGCAGCGGUCAGGAAGUGAAGCGUCACCACCAGGACGGGCAUGAACACCCCAGGCUCCGCUAGAAAGUCCAUCACGUCUACCUCAAAGCCCAGAAACGUCCACGGAACCAGAGCCUUCACUGGAGGCAGAACGAGCAGGUUCCUUCGGUUCCCGUCACUUCGCUCUCAUGCUCUCCUCAGCAUCUCUUCACGUUCCAGCAGCGCAGCUAGAACCUCCAGAGUCCUUUCCCCAUUCAGACGCAUCACCCCUCCCUCUCUCAUCCAGCCUCUCACACCAACAGUGAAUUCCUUUCCCCUGAAACAAGCGACCAGACUGUAGCUGGAGCUCAGCCGUUCGAGACCAGUAAAUAGAUGAGAUGGGACUAAAGGACGGAAACGUGUUGCGUGUGUAUAAAUAUAUGGUUUCCUCUGACUGUGAAGGAAACCACAUGGGAGAUACCCUCAUGCUCGUCUUCCUGUGCAUGUGUAUUUCUACUUCAGCACAUCAGUCACUUGAUGAAUUCAUAUAAAAGGAUGUGAAUACA
This is a long non-coding RNA of Betta splendens (Siamese fighting fish), 2574 nucleotides long. RefSeq lists it as uncharacterized. The transcript is spliced from 2 exons. The record is from RefSeq and is a predicted model, not a curated record. Lineage: Eukaryota; Metazoa; Chordata; Actinopteri; Anabantiformes; Osphronemidae.